Molecule: ribosomal RNA, 254 nt
Filed under: uncultured bacterium
Lineage: Bacteria
Description: partial 16S ribosomal RNA
Rfam family: Bacterial small subunit ribosomal RNA
Source: RNAcentral
UACGUAGGCAGCAAGCGUUGUUCGGAGUUACUGGGCGUAAAGGGUGUGUAGGCGGUUAUUAAGUUUGGUGUGAAAUCUCCCGGCUCAACCGGGGAGGGUGCGCCGAAUACUGAAUGACUUGGAGUGCGGGAGAGGAAAGUGGAAUUCCUGGUGUAGCGGUGAAAUGCGUAGAUAUCAGGAGGAACACCGGUGGUGUAGACGGCUUCUGGACCGUAACUGACGCUGGAGACACGAAAGCGUGGGUAGCAAACAGG